This 78-nucleotide transfer RNA is filed under the name Bacillota bacterium. RNAcentral describes it as "tRNA-Pro". It matches the Rfam family "tRNA". From Rfam's summary of the family: Transfer RNA (tRNA) molecules are approximately 80 nucleotides in length. Their secondary structure includes four short double-helical elements and three loops (D, anti-codon, and T loops). Lineage: Bacteria; Bacillati; Bacillota. RNAcentral also lists the same sequence under 1 other name. The record is from RNAcentral.
CGGGGUGUAGCUCAGUUUGGUAUGAGUGCUUGGUUCGGGACCAAGAGGCCGCGGGUUCAAGUCCCGCCACUCCGACCA